RNAcentral lists this unclassified non-coding RNA (318 nucleotides) under uncultured Hypocreales. RNAcentral describes it as "sequence contains ITS1". The stretch from base 1 to 105 matches the Rfam family "5.8S ribosomal RNA", at positions 50 to 154 of the family's 154-position model. Lineage: Eukaryota; Fungi; Ascomycota; Sordariomycetes; Hypocreales. The record is from RNAcentral.
GAAAUGCGGUAAGUAAUGCGAAUUGCAGAAUUCAGGGAAUCAUCAAAUCUUUGAACGCACAUGGCGCCUUCCAGUAUCCUGGGAGGCAUGCCUGUCCGAGCGUCGUUUCAACCCUCGAGCCCCCGUGGCCCGGCGUUGGGGAUCUGCCCAGGCAGGCCACGAAAACCAGUGGCGGACCCGUUACAGGCCCUUCCUUUGCGUAGUAAUACUGCCUCGCAUCGGGAGCCGGCGGGCUUCCAGCCUCUACACCCCCAGCCAGUGCGCCCCGGCGGCACCAAGGUUGACCUCGGAUCAGGUAGGAAUACCCGCUGAACUUAA